RNAcentral lists this ribosomal RNA (253 nucleotides) under uncultured bacterium. RNAcentral describes it as "partial 16S ribosomal RNA". It matches the Rfam family "Bacterial small subunit ribosomal RNA", at positions 524 to 776 of the family's 1533-position model. The record is from RNAcentral.
UACGUAGGUGGCAAGCGUUGUCCGGAAUUAUUGGGCGUAAAGCGCGCGCAGGCGGUUUCUUAAGUCUGAUGUGAAGGCCCACGGCUCAACCGUGGAGGGUCAUUGGAAACUGGGGAACUUGAGUGCAGAAGAGAAAAGCGGAAUUCCACGUGUAGCGGUGAAAUGCGUAGAGAUGUGGAGGAACACCAGUGGCGAAGGCGGCUUUUUGGUCUGUAACUGACGCUGAGGCGCGAAAGCGUGGGGAGCAAACAGG